GAACACAUGCACUCACUCAUGCCAUCCACUCAUUUGGUCAGCUAUUCCUAAGAGCGCGCUUGGUGCACCUGCAACAGUAAAAACAAAUGUACCCAUGAGUACUCGCUCGGCUUGAUCUAGAAGAGAAUGGAGUGGAUCAAGCACUAACAAGAAAUUAUGAAUGUCACCAAAGUUUCCAAAUGUCAACCAUUGCCAUUGCUACCAAUGCCAACCAUCAUCUAAAUUUGAAAGGGCACAUCAUAGAUUGAUCGAGUAUCAAUAAAGGGAGAUCAAACCUUCUGUAUGAGGCUAAUAUUACAACCUUCUCGAGGUAAUAGUUUAGUCUAAGGGUGGUUUCAUCGUACCUUCAACAAAGACACAAUUAUUGUUGUAUUUAAACUUAUUGCUUAUUUUUAUUUUUGAGAAUAAAUUUCGUCAAUGAUGUCUCUCCCUCAAAGCAAAUCCAUCAAUAAUAUUCUAUCUCUACAACAAAAAUUUACUCUUACCAGAGUAUUUAUUUGGUAUGACAUUUGUUUGCUAUCUGAGAUUUACUCAUACAAACCAUUGUACAUCAUAAGAUUAUUAUCUUGACAAAACAUCCAAAUAAUGUUUAUGACUUUUCUUUAGCGAUUUCACUUGAGCCUCAGUUGCAUUUUCAUUGGAUCCAAUGUGACCAACCCAUGCUCAUGCCAUGGACUUUGUUCUGUAUCCAAGUUUUCUCAGAGAAAAGUAUUAACAAGAAGUGACAUAUUUAUUUCCAUUGACACUUUCAACUGGAUUCUUUGUUAUUUCCCUAAACAAUCUAUCCAUAGCCACUCCUUUUGCCAACACCAUAAUAUCCAUGCAUUAAUAGGAAUGGCAUCCCCAGAAUGUGUAUUGUCAUGAGGUACAUCAUUUCCCCAUGAUGAGUUAUUUGCCUAGACAGUUAGGUAAUAUCCUUGCAAUGAGAUUUCUCCUUAUGCUCUAACUUAAGGCCCAUGGAUUGUGUUCGUAUGAGUCCUUGCCACUAUGCCAUCCAUAGUUUUUGUCAAGAACUAGAUUCAUUUUCAACAAUCCUCAUAAAAAAAACUAAGAUGGUGCUCAAUAGUGCUGUUGGUUAAAUGUGACCAUGGUACCUGGGUAUCAAUCACUAUCAAACUUUAUGGUUAAUUCCCUUAUAAGCAACAUCAUUCGUGUUCUAUCAAUCAACAAUACAUUUGUGACCAAUACAAAACCAAUAUAGCAUAUAUUAUACUAAUAAUAAACAAGAUUUAUUCAUUUACCUAUUUUUUGACCUGUUAUUCAUUUAUCUAUUUUGAUAUAUGUGUGUUUUAAGGACUUGCUUAGGUAAAAUAGUACUCCCUCCGGUAAAAUAUAGGGGCUAUUGCAUAACUAACCCUAUUUUAAGAGCUAACUGUAUAUUUGACCUCUUUUUUUUUCACUCUCCAGAUUUGACCCCGGUUUUCAAAUUUGAAGUAGUCGUCUGACCCUAAUGUUAGGGAACCGUGAGAAAUCAGAAUAAAAAACGAAAAAAAAGAAAUGGACACGUGAAAAGAAAAAAACUACCCCCUCAUCUAACCUUAUCCCCUUCCUUCUUUUCCUAGUAGAGUCUUUCCCCAGCGUGUGGCGGUAGCGGGCAGCAGUGGGAGGCGGUGGCAGUGGGAGGACACGGGUGACGACGGCGCGAGGCGGUGGGCGACGGGCUCGUGUGGCGGCGCCGUGUGUCAGUGGGUGGCAGCUGUGUGAGGCGGCAAGCGUCAGGCGUCGGGCUCGUGCGGCACCAGCGGGAGGCCACAAGCGCUAGGCUCAUGUGGGGAGGCAAGGGAACCAGAGCUCGAUCGGUGUCACGUCAUUUUUGGCCGGUUCCAAGGUAGGCAGGGCAUGCAGUUAGAUGCAGCGCGUGGAGACGAUGAUGGCUGGUGUUCAUAGUCGUCCAUGUACGUACGAGCUGCACAGGGAAGCCUCCUCCUCCUCCCUUUGGUGAGCGAGUUGGAAACCUACGCUGGUCUUCCGCUCCUGUGUGCCUUCGGACAAAGCGGGUGAGGAGAGGACUAGUUAAUGGUGCGGCUAAGCGUGUGUGCGUCUCCUUGCUCUCUUUGGCGGGGAAGCAAACUGUAUGCAAUUUGGCAAUUUUGGGUAGUAUGCUACCAAAAUUUUG
Molecule: long non-coding RNA, 2116 nt
Filed under: Oryza brachyantha (malo sina)
Lineage: Eukaryota; Viridiplantae; Streptophyta; Magnoliopsida; Poales; Poaceae
Description: long non-coding RNA (OBRA_LNC000087)
Source: RNAcentral